UACGGAGGGAGCUAGCGUUGUUCGGAAUUACUGGGCGUAAAGCGCGCGUAGGCGGCUUUGUAAGUUAGAGGUGAAAGCCCGGGGCUCAACCCCGGAACAGCCUUUAAGACUGCAUCGCUAGAAUCCGGGAGAGGUGAGUGGAAUUCCGAGUGUAGAGGUGAAAUUCGUAGAUAUUAGGAAGAACACCGGUGGCGAAGGCGGCCCACUGGUCCGGUACUGACGCUGAGGUGCGAAAGCGUGGGGAGCAAACAGG
RNAcentral lists this ribosomal RNA (253 nucleotides) under uncultured bacterium. Its description in RNAcentral is "partial 16S ribosomal RNA". It matches the Rfam family "Bacterial small subunit ribosomal RNA", at positions 524 to 776 of the family's 1533-position model. The record is from RNAcentral.